GGGAAACUCCGGGGGAGCUGUAAAGCUGAGAGGAAGCGCGAGCUUCGACCCCAGACCUGAUCCGGUCAAUGCCGGCGUAGGGAGCGAGACCGAUGACGCAC
This 101-nucleotide non-coding RNA is filed under the name Synergistes jonesii. RNAcentral's name for it is "TPP sequence". It matches the Rfam family "TPP riboswitch aptamer (THI element)". Rfam says of the family: Vitamin B(1) in its active form thiamin pyrophosphate (TPP) is an essential coenzyme that is synthesised by coupling of pyrimidine and thiazole moieties in bacteria. Lineage: Bacteria; Thermotogati; Synergistota; Synergistia; Synergistales; Synergistaceae. The record is from Rfam by way of RNAcentral.